Molecule: ribosomal RNA, 488 nt
Filed under: uncultured bacterium
Lineage: Bacteria
Description: bacterial SSU rRNA
Rfam family: Bacterial small subunit ribosomal RNA
Source: RNAcentral
AUUGAACGCUGGCGGCAUGCCUUACACAUGCAAGUCGAACGGUAACAGGUCUUCGGAUGCUGACGAGUGGCGAACGGGUGAGUAAUACAUCGGAACGUGCCCGAGAGUGGGGGAUAACGAAGCGAAAGCUUUGCUAAUACCGCAUACGAUCUCAGGAUGAAAGCAGGGGACCGCAAGGCCUUGCGCUCACGGAGCGGCCGAUGGCAGAUUAGGUAGUUGGUGGGAUAAAAGCUUACCAAGCCGACGAUCUGUAGCUGGUCUGAGAGGACGACCAGCCACACUGGGACUGAGACACGGCCCAGACUCCUACGGGAGGCAGCAGUGGGGAAUUUUGGACAAUGGGCGCAAGCCUGAUCCAGCCAUGCCGCGUGCAGGAUGAAGGCCUCGGUUGUAAACUGCUUUUGUACGGUAACGAAAGAACUACUGGUUAAUACCUAGGGUCCGAUGACGGUACCGUAAGAAUAAGACACCGGCUAACUACGUAGCCA